This 1312-nucleotide long non-coding RNA is filed under the name Sarcophilus harrisii (Tasmanian devil). RNAcentral's name for it is "lncRNA (ENSSHAG00000025759.1)". Lineage: Eukaryota; Metazoa; Chordata; Mammalia; Dasyuromorphia; Dasyuridae. The record is from RNAcentral.
GGCAAGUUCCAUUUAUCUUUUUGAAAUGAAGUUUUCCCAUCACUUCUUUUGAAUCGCUUAUUUUGGCCCUGCUGGGGAUUGACAACUGACAGAAACCACAGGGACCGAGCCGACUUUUGACCUGACUUGAUACAGACAGAAAUGCUGCCUAUGCUCGGAGAUUUCCGCUGAGGCGUCGGCAUUUUUCGUGGACUUCGCUUUAUUCUCCCUUUGCUGCUUCUGCUAGGCUGCUCUGCCAGCCAACGUCCCGCCAACGACAUCGGGUCGGCGAGGCCCUCCACGCUUCCUACCCCGCUCGCUAGCCGGUGCGUUGCGGGCUUCGUUUUUUUUCCCCGCAUGGGGAUCACCCGCAUGGGGAUCACCCUCCUCAGAAACUGCGGUGUUUCUGUUGAGGGACCUGGCGAGGAAAGAAAUGCCCUCGGCUUGGUUGAAUUCUGAAGGACUCUUCUGAAAUUGUUCUAGCUUCGAGAUCACUUCCUUGAUCUCUGAGGUGCCAGAGAUCGUCCAUCGGAAGCUUGUUGUUGCGGCCCACCUCUUCCACUGCAGCCUCCCCCGCCUCUGCAAGUUCAAGGAAUCUCAGAACUGACUGAGCGCGACCUACUUCGAGGCCUCCCUGGCCGCGGCCGUAGGCUGGGCACCUGGAGCUUGUGCCUUAUUCCAGGGGGAAGGCGAGGGAGCGGCUGCGGCGUCCUCCGUCCUCCCUUCGCUCAGAUUCUGGACAAAGCAGUUCCCGCCUACUCCUCCGCUGUGGCCCCGGGCCCUGGCCCUGGCCUCAGCCACCUUGGCUUCAGCGCCCGUCGUGGAGCUUUUUCCGCAGGUGGAGAAAUUGAGGCAAAAAGAAGUUAAAUUGUUUGCCACAGGUCACACAGCUUGGGAGAGUCUGAGGCUCUUCCUGACUCUAGACCCAGCACUCCAUGUACCAUGUCACUUAACUACCUCUGUUUGGGAGAAGACAUCCUGGGAAGUUUCAUAAUGUGAAAAAGAAAAAACCAUGAACUCACAAGUGAAAAGAGAUUGAACUCGGUCUCAGCAUCCAGGAUAAAGAAAGGACUUUCUAAUAUCAUUUCUCCUUGUUAUUACAAGUUUUCAUUAGAGAGAUCCUGGGGUCAGGGAUUGGAGCUGACCAGGAGUGGAAGUUCUUAGGAGACCUAGAAGAAUAGAUUCAUAGAAUUACAGAGUUGGAAAGAACUUUUAGGAUGAUCUAAUCCAAUCCACUAUUUUGUUUUGUUUUAGUUUUGUUUUUAAAAUAAUAGCUUUUUAUUUUUCAGAAUUCAUUAUUUUCAAAACUCAUUAAACAUUUACCCUUGCAAAA